Non-coding RNA from Ornithorhynchus anatinus (platypus), 138 nucleotides. The record is from Rfam. NCBI's taxonomy places the organism in Eukaryota, Metazoa, Chordata, Mammalia, Monotremata, Ornithorhynchidae.
CACCUCUCAGGGUCGCACCUGGAGAGUUUCCAGUCCUCUACCAGUCUCGACUGUGGGAGGGAGAGUCAAACAGAGGCCUAUCCAUUCCAUUCCUAGCUUGGCCAGUGGCUAGCAAGUGGAAGGUAAUCUGGUACAAGU